UACGUAGGGUGCGAGCGUUGUCCGGAAUUAUUGGGCGUAAAGGGCUCGUAGGCGGUUUGGCGCGUCGGGGGUGAAAACCAGGUGCUUAACACCUGGAUUGCUUUCGAUACGGGCAGACUAGAGGUAUGCAGGGGAGAACGGAAUUCCUGGUGUAGCGGUGAAAUGCGCAGAUAUCAGGAGGAACACCGGUGGCGAAGGCGGUUCUCUGGGCAUUACCUGACGCUGAGGAGCGAAAGUGUGGGGAGCGAACAGG
Molecule: ribosomal RNA, 253 nt
Filed under: uncultured bacterium
Lineage: Bacteria
Description: partial 16S ribosomal RNA
Rfam family: Bacterial small subunit ribosomal RNA
Source: RNAcentral